This 497-nucleotide ribosomal RNA is filed under the name uncultured bacterium. RNAcentral describes it as "partial 16S ribosomal RNA". It matches the Rfam family "Bacterial small subunit ribosomal RNA", at positions 28 to 507 of the family's 1533-position model. The record is from RNAcentral.
GAUGAACGCUGGCGGCGUGCCUAAUACAUGCAAGUCGAGCGAACAGACGAGGAGCUUGCUCCUCUGACGUUAGCGGCGGACGGGUGAGUAACACGUGGAUAACCUACCUAUAAGACUGGGAUAACUUCGGGAAACCGGAGCUAAUACCGGAUAAUAUAUUGAACCGCAUGGUUCAAUAGUGAAAGACGGUUUUGCUGUCACUUAUAGAUGGAUCCGCGCCGCAUUAGCUAGUUGGUAAGGUAACGGCUUACCAAGGCAACGAUGCGUAGCCGACCUGAGAGGGUGAUAGGCCACACUGGAACUGAGACACGGUCCAGACUCCUGAGGGAGGCAGCAGUAGGGAAUCGUCCGCAAUGGGCGAAAGCCUGACGGAGCAACGCCGCGUGAGUGAUGAAGGUCUUCGGAUCGUAAAACUCUGUUAUUAGGGAAGAACAAAUGUGUAAGUAACUAUGCACGUCUUGACGGUACCUAAUCAGAAAGCCACGGCUAACUACGUG